UAAUUGACAGAAGAUUUUGAGGCUCUGGCAUUUGGUGCUCUGAAAUGGAGGUGGAUUCCAAAGAAAGAACAAAAAAGAGGGAAAGGGGAAGAUAAAGAAAGAGAGAAAGAAGGAGGUGGAAAAGAAGAAAACAAGAAAGAGGAAGAGGAGGAUGAAAAAGAAGAAGAAAGAAGGAGAAAAAGGAGAGGGGAUAAGAAAGGAGGAAGAAAAAGCAGAGAAGGAGAAGCUUCAAUAAGAGGACCACACAAAGAGUUGAAUUACACACAGAGUUGAGGUAUGCAGUUUGCUGAAGGAUGGCUGAGAGAUAGAAACUUACAGAAAUAAAUCAGAGAGGACACAAACGAAUGAAAAAACAUUCCAUGCUCAUGAAUGGGGAGAAUCAAUAUCAUGAAAAUGGCUAUACUGCCAAAAGUAAUUUUUAGAUUCAGUGCUAUUCCCAUCAAGCUAUCAUUGACUUUCAUCACAGAAUUAGAAAAAAAAUUACUUUAAGUUCAUAUGGAACCAAAAAAGAGCUCAUAUAGCCAAGACAAUCCUAAGCAAAAAGAACAAAGCUGAAGGCAUCACGCUACCUGACUUCAAACUACACUACAAAGCUACAGUAACCCGUACAGCAUGGUACUGGUACCAAAACAGAUAUAUAGACCAAUGGAACAGAACAGAGGCCUCAGAAAAAAACUUACACGUCUACAACCAUCUGAUCUUUG
This 704-nucleotide long non-coding RNA is filed under the name Homo sapiens (human). RNAcentral describes it as "HSALNT0069224". The record is from RNAcentral. Lineage: Eukaryota; Metazoa; Chordata; Mammalia; Primates; Hominidae.